GGGGAAGAUAAUGACUGUACCCAGUAAAGAAACCCCGGCUAACUCCGUGCCAGCAGCCGCGGUAAUACGGAGGGGGUUAGCGUUGUUCGGAAUUACUGGGCGUAAAGCGCGCGUAGGCGGAUCAGAAAGUUGGGGGUGAAAUCCCAGGGCUCAACCCUGGAACUGCCUCCAAAACUCCUGGUCUUGAGUUCGAGAGAGGUGAGUGGAAUUCCAAGUGUAGAGGUGAAAUUCGUAGAUAUUUGGAGGAACACCAGUGGCGAAGGCGGCUCACUGGCUCGAUACUGACGCUGAGGUGCGAAAGUGUGGGGAGCAAACAGGAUUAGAUACCCUGGUAGUCCACACCGUAAACGAUGAAUGCCAGUCGUCGGGUAGUAUACUGCUCGGUGACACACCUAACGGAUUAAGCAUUCCGCCUGGGGAGUACGGUCGCAAGAUUAAAACUCAAAUGAAUUGACGGA
Molecule: ribosomal RNA, 458 nt
Filed under: uncultured bacterium
Lineage: Bacteria
Description: bacterial SSU rRNA
Rfam family: Bacterial small subunit ribosomal RNA
Source: RNAcentral